RNAcentral lists this ribosomal RNA (498 nucleotides) under uncultured bacterium. RNAcentral's name for it is "partial 16S ribosomal RNA". It matches the Rfam family "Bacterial small subunit ribosomal RNA", at positions 28 to 508 of the family's 1533-position model. The record is from RNAcentral.
GAUGAACGCUGGCGGCGUGCCUAAUACAUGCAAGUCGAGCGAACGGACGAGAAGCUUGCUUUUCUGAUGUUAGCGGCGGACGGGUGAGUAACACGUGGAUAACCUACCUAUAAGACUGGGAUAACUUCGGGAAACCGGAGCUAAUAUCGGAUAAUAUUUUGAACCGCAUGGUUCAAAAGUGAAAGACGGUCUUGCUGUCACUUAUAGAUGGAUCCGCGCUGCAUUAGCUAGUUGGUAAGGUAACGGCUUACCAAGGCAACGAUGCAUAGCCGACCUGAGAGGGUGAUCGGCCACACUGGAACUGAGACACGGUCCAGACUCCUACGGGAGGCAGCAGUAGGGAAUCUUCCGCAAUGGGCGAAAGCCUGACGGAGCAACGCCGCGUGAGUGAUGAAGGUCUUCGGAUCGUAAAACUCUGUUAUUAGGGAAGAACAUAUGUGUAAGUAACUGUGCACAUCUUGACGGUACCUAAUCAGAAAGCCACGGCUAACUACGUGC